GCAAGUCGAACGAGAACGGUCCUUCGGGACCUAUUAAAGUGGCGAACGGGUGAGUAACGCGUGGAUAACGUGCCUUUUUGUGGGGGACAACCAAGGGAAACUUUGGCUAAUACCGCAUAAGCUCUUCGGAGGAAAGGUUGCCUCUCUACGAUGCAAUCGCAAAAAGAGCGGUCCGCGUCCCAUUAGCUUGUUGGUGGGGUAAUGGCCUACCAAGGCGACGAUGGGUAGCCGGCCUGAGAGGGCGAUC
Molecule: ribosomal RNA, 247 nt
Filed under: uncultured bacterium
Lineage: Bacteria
Description: partial 16S ribosomal RNA
Rfam family: Bacterial small subunit ribosomal RNA
Source: RNAcentral